GAAACCUCACCUUGCCACACGCCAUCCGGGCGCCAGAGCAGUUUUAUAAAACACGGACUUCCGUCCGGGUGAGGAGAAAGA
Molecule: non-coding RNA, 81 nt
Filed under: unclassified sequences
Description: RAGATH-10 RNA
Rfam family: RAGATH-10 RNA
About the family: RNA motif Associated with Genes Associated with Twister and Hammerhead ribozymes (RAGATH).
Source: Rfam by way of RNAcentral